This 401-nucleotide long non-coding RNA is filed under the name Gossypium barbadense (sea-island cotton). RNAcentral describes it as "long non-coding RNA (GBAR_LNC013724)". Lineage: Eukaryota; Viridiplantae; Streptophyta; Magnoliopsida; Malvales; Malvaceae. The record is from RNAcentral.
CUACAUUUGACCUCCAAUGUCUUCUCUUCUUCUCCUCCUCCUGCCUGAACGUCCUAAAAGAACUCUGCCAUGUCGACGGAGCCGGCUAACCAAAGAUACAUUGCCCCCGCCAUCAUUAAAAUAGUCAUCAUCUUGAUGACCCCCAACAGGAGAGGUAAGGUGAACACCAACAGCAUUCUCAUCUGCUGCAUGUGUAGGCUGCCUUGUUCGUCUACCAAGGUCAUUCCCUGAUGGCCCAAAUGCAUGCAGAAAAAGAAAGAAAUUCAAAACAUUAUUAUCUAACCCCACAUCAAAAUCUCCACCCCUUUCUAUAGCAUCUGCUGUGUCGAGACCACCCUCUUCAUCCGUCUCAAAACCGUGAUGAUUUCUUUCUAUUACAUAAUCACCAAAAACCAUUGCCC